This 401-nucleotide transfer-messenger RNA is filed under the name Candidatus Nomurabacteria bacterium RIFCSPHIGHO2_01_FULL_36_23. It matches the Rfam family "transfer-messenger RNA". Rfam says of the family: Bacterial tmRNA, also known as 10Sa RNA or SsrA, is named for its dual tRNA and mRNA-like properties. Its role is to liberate the mRNA from a stalled ribosome. The record is from RNAcentral. RNAcentral also lists the same sequence under 3 other names. Lineage: Bacteria; Candidatus Nomuraibacteriota.
GGGGAUGCAAGGCGUAGACAGUAGGCCUUUUGUCAUCGAUGCAUACCGAGAAUGAGCGUAAUCUCGUAAAACUUCGCUCAAUAGCUUAAUUGCAAAAUUAGCUUCCAAAGCUAAAGCGCUAGUUUCUCCUUACUUCGGUGGGGAGAGCUUCGCUUUCGCUUCAGUUUCCGCUUACGCGUAACUGAUGUCUCUCUUUUAGACUUCCGAUAUAUAAGAUGAGGCAUAAUAUUAUCGGGAUAGGGGAAAGAAUGUUCUGACUUUUUUCCGAAAUAAAGGAACUCGAUUAAAAAAUAUUUGGCUCGUUUCUUAAUUUUUUAAUUUAAAACAAUAAGCGCGCUAAGUAUGUAGAUUUCUUGGCAAAAACCUUCUGCACGGGGAUUCAAUUUCCCCCAUCUCCACAA